This 217-nucleotide long non-coding RNA is filed under the name Gopherus agassizii (Agassiz's desert tortoise). RNAcentral describes it as "lncRNA (ENSGAGG00000000567.1)". The record is from RNAcentral. Lineage: Eukaryota; Metazoa; Chordata; Testudines; Testudinidae.
UUUAAUGGACCCUCAGAGCUUUGCUUCUAUUUUCUGAGAACCUUUUCUUUUGGAUCCAUUGCAGGGGAAGCCCGGAGCACGAGGUUUACCUGGGCCAAGAGGACAGCCUGGCCAAGAGGGAGAUGAAGGACCCAUAGGGCCACCAGGGUUCCCUGGUCCAGAGGGUCGACCUGGCAGGAAGGGAUUUCCUGGAAAACCUGGCCCUGAUGGUUCAAAG